UACGUAGGUCCCGAGCGUUGUCCGGAUUUAUUGGGCGUAAAGCGAGCGCAGGUGGUUUAUUAAGUCUGGUGUAAAAGGCAGUGGCUCAACCAUUGUAUGCAUUGGAAACUGGUAGACUUGAGUGCAGGAAAGGAGAGUGGAAUUCCAUGUGUAGCGGUGAAAUGCGUAGAUAUAUGGAGGAACACCAGUGGCGAAGGCGGCUUACUGGACUGUAACUGACGUUGAGGCUCGAAAGCGUGGGGAGCAAACAGG
RNAcentral lists this ribosomal RNA (252 nucleotides) under uncultured bacterium. RNAcentral describes it as "partial 16S ribosomal RNA". It matches the Rfam family "Bacterial small subunit ribosomal RNA", at positions 524 to 776 of the family's 1533-position model. The record is from RNAcentral.